Molecule: long non-coding RNA, 1199 nt
Organism: Engraulis encrasicolus (European anchovy)
Lineage: Eukaryota; Metazoa; Chordata; Actinopteri; Clupeiformes; Engraulidae
Exons: 4
Source: RefSeq, a predicted model, not a curated record
CACACUCAUACAUGACAUGACCAAUAUGUUAUGUGCUCGGAGCGGCAGUUUACAAACGCACCCUUAGUGCCUUCUGCUGUUAGGCCAAUGGCACUGAGCCCACCGUUUCAUUGAUUGGAGUAUUUGGGUUACAUUUUGUCAAUUUGUUGUAUUUUCCAGGAUCGUUGAGGACUCCUCCUCUAUGCGUGACAUCUUAGAUUAGAUUUAGAUUUAAUUUCAAGUGAUGAGUAAAAUAUCCAGAAAGAUACAUAAUCUGCUCUUUUUGCCCUCCAGUUUAGCACACUGAAUUCUUUGAGCCAUCUGUUGUCAAUCCGUCUGGGAAAAUGAUCAAUGAUAUAAAACAAACAAACAAAAAAAACAUUUUACAUGUAUACAGACAUGUAUCUUUUAGAUGUUUCAUACUCUAGGCCUAUUCAUCAUCAUAUUGUGUCGUGGUGGUGACGGUGUUAUCAUUUUUCAUUAUUUUCUUGUAAUAAUUAGGCCUAUAAAUGCAUAAUCAUGUUCAUGUUUUGUGCUGUCAUGCUUUGCAGAUGACUGAGAAUAUUACUGAAGGAUCCUACAUGGAAGCUGUCUGAUUACACUGAGUGAUUCCUCUGGUGUGGUGUACCUCAGAGAAAAUAAACACUGUUGCAAGAGCUCAGAAGAUAUCCUUAUUGCUGGAUGGUUGCUCUCUGGUCGUACUUGAGCCCCCUGGACCAUGUCUGCAAAUGCUUCUGAACAUUGACAGAAUUUCUAAAGGAUCGCUGAGGACUCCCCCUCCAUGCGUGACAUCUUUGAGAAAUUUCCACGCUUUCUGGAGAUGCCAAGUUUGACUGGAACCAACUUUGCAUCCCUCGGCACUGACACUGAGAAGGUUUCAAGGACCCCACUACUAGGAGGCGAGAGUUUGACACGGCAGUGUCAUCACUGCCAUGGAUGACAAUGUAACCAUUCCUGUUGCUGAUUGCCUGACUUGCGCAGUGACAAGCUUUUCAUGCUCUACUGGGUGUGUAACUUGGCAUAUCCACCACAGUUUAACUCUGUUUUUGCCUCUUUUGAAUAUGUGUACGAUAUAACCAUCUCAACCAAAAAGUGGGCCAAGGUACUGGAACAUUUCUCACUUCAAGUUGCUCUGUAGUCACUGGACAUUUUUUAAAACAUCUACGCAAACACCACCACUCCACACCAUGUGUAUUUUAAUUACUUCUGAUUCCACUGAC